Molecule: long non-coding RNA, 6199 nt
Organism: Homo sapiens (human)
Lineage: Eukaryota; Metazoa; Chordata; Mammalia; Primates; Hominidae
Exons: 2
Source: RefSeq, a predicted model, not a curated record
UGCCAUUGCACUCCAACUUGGGCAACAAGAGCAAAACAUCUCUGAAAAAAAAAAGAGUAAAACACUGGUUGCUCUCUGUUUUAGUAAUGUGUUAUUUAUUAGGUAAAUGUGAUACAUAUUAAGUAAAGUGGGAUUUUUCUUAGAGAAGAUAUUUAUCUCUAUUGAGGUAGCAAAAUAAAUAUGUAUAGAUUGAAUGAAUUUGUCUCCCUUUAGGUUUAAAUAAGAAAUGGGUGUGUGUGUUUUCUUGGCCUAUUCCUAUUUUUCCUGGCUUAUUCAUAUUCUAAUUCCUCUUGUUUAUAUAAUUAUUCACUUUGAUCACCUCAUAUAUCUUAUCUUUUUCGGGUGGCCUAAAAGCAAAAAUAUUCUUACAGUCUAGUCAGCAUUUGCUGUGCUUCUUAUUAUUGUACUUGUUUAGCACAAACUUGAUGCUGAUUCUACUUCUCAUUCUUCAUGACAAAACAAGUGGAAAAAAUAUCUGGGAAUUGGCUCUAUGACAUGGCUAAAUAACACUAAUAUGGGUCUUGUGCUCUUAAUCUAUAAAAUGGGAAUAAUAAAAAUAUCAAGUCUGUAAUCACUGCUAUAUGAAAACCCCGAGUUUUAUGAGUGCUUCUGGGAAUACCUAGUAAAGAAAACAUAUCUGUGUGCUUUAUCUUUUAAUAGUUAAAAACAGUUUUGACAAUAAGUAGUUUAUAUUUAUUAGUUAUUAUAAUACAUAUAAUUGUAAAUAGUUUAUAGGUAUUAGUUAUUAUAAUAUACAUGUACAUAUAACACAUUCAUAUAAACUAUAAGUAGUUUAUACAUAUUAGUAAUUAUAAUAUACCUAUUAUAAUAACUAAGAAUAGAAAAGCAAUGUAGAAACUAAGAGUUAUAUAAUACCCAUAGUAAUUAAUCAAUAAGCAAAUACUAUUUUUAGUAUUUUUAUACUAUUUGUAUAUGUAUUCAUUACUUUAUGUAUAUAAUUCUUUAUAUAAUUCUUAGGUUCUAUAAUACCUUUAUUCUGUAUAUUUUGAAUUAUGUAUUUAAUAGCCUAAUAUAUUUCUAAUUUGCAGAAAACAAGGAAAAUUGUCUUCCUUCAAUUAUUAUAAGUAUGCAUUUCUUUAUCCAGGGAGGCUAAAAGGCAAGAUCAUAACAAGCUAUUAUAUGGAAAAUUGGUUCUUCAAAAUAUUCCUUUUAAAAUUGAGGCAACAGAAUCAUUUUUCCCUCUCAUUGUAUGUUUAACUUAAAAUUGUUUCAACAACAAUAUGUAGAUUGCCAGUUCAAGUUCUCAGGUGUAACAAGACUCACAUUUCUUUGUUAUACAAUAUAAUAUAAAUAUAAAGUAAAACAUUAUAUUAAAAUGAAAGUUUUAUAAUAUUUAGACAUUAAUAUCUCAGCCUUUCAUUAGCAUAUUAUUUGAAGAAAGGCAUUCACUUUUUCACAGGUUACUUCCUUGCUCCUGAAAAUGACGAUGUUCUAUUUUCUACUAUUUUUGUCUAAAAAUUUAAACAGGUUAGUAUAUCCUCUGCAUAAAUGCUACAAAAUACAAUGCACAAUAAUUUUGUUAAAAUUACUAAAUAUUAGUAAAAAAUUCGAUUAGUUUUCUUAAUAAUUGUUUCCUUAUUUUUCAUAUCUAUAUAUGCAGUCAUUCUAAAGUUAAGGACUACUCUCUUGAUAAUGGAGAAAUCUUUCAACACACAAAAACAAAAUUUUUAUUGUCUUUUAAAUAGGUCCUGAGAAGAGGACUAGAAAAAGGCAACACAUCAAAAAGUUAAGAGGCAGAAAUAGCUUUUAUGUUGCUGGUAAAUUUAAUGAGAUCUUAAGUUUUUCGACUGGCAAGUCUCAUCUCUUUGAGCAUCUCAGUGAAGACUGUCAGAAAUCAUCAAAAUUCAACACAACAGAGUAAAAGCUAAUAGCAUUUUUGUUAUACCAAAACUGAAAGGAUUGAUGUUCUUAAGUAACAAAAAGCAAUAAAGAUAAAAUACAGGACAUCAAAGAUAUCACAUACAUUCAUAUAUCUCAAGAAAUGAAAGCAAUGAAAGAGCUGUGAUAUGAUCCAUAUUUUUUGUUUAUUGACAACUAAUGCAAAAUUCCAAACAAUAAUGAAGCAACUACAGAUUGGGGAAAAUAGUAAAUCAGAAAGAGCAAUUGAGAGAGCCUUUUUAGAAAAAAGUUUUCUCCUUUGGAAUUAUGUUACAUUUUGAGUAAUUAUUAUGAUAUUCAACCAUUAAUUUAUACAUUUGUUUUUAAUUUAACAUAUAUUUUGAGUACUAAAUAUAUCAGGCACUAUUAUAGGUGCUUGUGCUAAUUAACAACCAGUUUUCUAGAAUGUGUAAAGUGCCAUAGAAAAUACCUCUUGGGUUCUAUGCUCACUACCUGGAUGAUGGGUUCAGUCAUACCCAAACCUCAGCAUCAUGCAGUAUACUCUGUAACAAACACUCACAUAUAUCCUCAAAUCUAAAAGUUGAAAUUUAAAAAAAAAAUAAAAAGCAAAUAAUUAUAUUAAGUAUAUUAACUAAAACAAAACUGAUUCCGUUUUAGAAAAAGAAUUUAGAAAUGAGGGGGAGUGGAGACUAGAAUAACACUUAUGGUGUUCAAUCAGAAUCAAAACUAUCAAUAUAUACUUAAGUUUACUUUUUUUCUACGUUAGAUAGAAAUUGAAAAGAAUGUGUAGAUAUAUAAAUAGACCUAGACGCACAUGUUUGUGUGUGAAUGUGUAUAUAUAUAUAUAUUUUUAUUUUUGAGAUGAAGUCUUUCUCUGUCGCCCAGCUUGGAGUGCAGUGGCCCAAUGUCGGCUCACUGCAAGCUCUGCCUCCUGGAUUCAUGCCAUUCUCCUGCCUCAGUCUCCCAAGUAGCUGGGACUACAGGCACCUGCCACCACGCCCAGCUAAUUUUUUUGUAUUUUUAAUAGAGACGGGGUUUCACCGUGUUAGCCAGGAUGGUCUUGAUCUUCUGACCUCAUAAUCCGCCCAUCUCAGCCUUCCAAAGUGCUGGGAUUACAGGUGUGAGCCAUAGCGCCCGGCCGAAUGUGUGUAUAUUUCUUAAUUUUAACCACUAAGACUAGAAGCAAUAACAUUUUAAUAGCAAUCAGCACAUCUAGCAUUCAAAUCUUGGAUUCACUUUUUUCUUCUUUAAAAGGAUACAGAGCUCCUUGGAUCAAUGCCUGAUUCUAGGUGCAUGCGGCAGAAAGAACAAAAUGGGUCUGAGACAUCUGUUGUUGUUAAGAAAAUAAGGAAGUCUCAACUAAUGAUUGAGACAUGCCAAAGAACAUAGGAGCUAACUAGAAGUGGCUCUCAGUGACCCAAACUGAGAUAAAUUGAACAAGGGAAUAAAUAAUGAUGGCAAUAGAUUAUUCAGAUUAAUUAAACCAAAUACACAUGAAUCCACACUAAUAUAAAUAAAUAAUUGGAUAAAUAAGAAAAGUGGGACAAAGGAAAGCUUUUCCAUACAGUAGAAUUCUAAUCAAUAAAUAUAGAAAGAAUAGUGGAAAUAGAUUCUCAUUUCUUGGCAAAUACCACAUAAUUGUUGCAGACAAGUCUGCUAAAAUUAGUGGAUACAAUUAUGAGAAACAAGAUAUUUACAUAAUCUCCAAGUAUCUCUCAACAAAAUACUGAUUUUAAAAAUGGUAACUUUGAAGUGGAGAAAUGUGGCAGACAAUGUCUUAUUCAAGUGAUCAGAGUUAACGUCAACAAUAUUAGGACACGAUAAUAUCAUGUGCCUCCUGAUAUGAUGCACUGAGAAGGACAACCUCGGCAUUGUGGCAUUCUUGCCAAAAUAUAUUAUGUGAAUUUAACCAUGAAGAAAUAUUAGAAAAAAAUCAAACUUCAAAAUAAUCUACAAAAAACAAGUAUCAAGGGCAUGAAAGACAAAAAGAAAAGCUGAAUUUUCUUUUUUAACUUUUUUUUUUUUGAGAUGGAGUCUUGCACUGUUGCCAAGGCUGGAGUGCAGAGGCGUGAUCUCUGCUCACUGAAAGCUCCGCCUCCUGGGUUCACGCCAUUUUCCUGCCUCAGCCUCCCAAGUAGCUGGGACUACAGGUGCCCGCCACCACGCCAGCUAAUUUUUUGUAUUUUUAGUAGAGACGGGGUUUCACCGUUUUAGCUAGGAUGGUCUCCAUCUCCUGUCCUCAUGAUCCGCCCGCCUCGGCCUCCCAAAGUGCUGGGAUUACAGGCAUGAGCCUCCGCACCCGAAUAAAGAAAACUAAAGAAAUGUAGCAGAUAAAUGCAAUAUGUGACCCUGAUUUUGAUCCUAGUUAAAAAACAUUAGUGGAACCAUGAACAAAAUAUGUAAAUAAGGUCUGUAGGUAAGUAACUAAUUCCGUAUCAAUUUCCUAAUGUGAGUAACUGUACUCUUAGAUAUGGUGUUAGCAGUCAAGAAGCUGGGUGAAGAAUAUAUAGGAAUUCUUGAUUUUUUAAAAUAUAUUUUUGUAAGCUUUAAAGUAGUUCAAAAUGAAAAUUUUAAAAUAAAAUGAAUAAAAAAGAAAAAGGAUAGGAUGGAUCUUCUGAAGUAUUGUGCUAAAUAUGAAAUUCAUGGUCCAUCCCUGAGGUCUUUUAUAUUACAGUGUUUAAGAUAUAAAAUAAAUGUAAAGAAAACCAAAGAAUGAUCAAUAGUGAUUAAAGUUAUCACUAUUUCUGGAUAAACCAUGUUCUACGAUAGCACAUAACUGGUGAUAGCUUGGAGUCAUGUGAAGACCUCUCCAAGAAAAUGAAAUGUAAGGCCGGGCGCGGUGGCUCACGCCUGUAAUCCCAGCACUUUGGGAGGCCGAGGCGGGCGGAUCACGAGGUCAGGAGAUCGAGACCAUCCCGGCUAAAACGGUGAAACCCCGUCUCUACUAAAAAUACAAAAAAUUAGCCGGGCGUAGUGGCGGGCGCCUGUAGUCCCAGCUACUUGGGAGGCUGAGGCAGGAGAAUGGCGUGAACCCGGGAGGCGGAGCUUGCAGUGAGCCGAGAUUGCGCCACUGCACUCCAGCCUGGGUGACAGAGCGAGACUCCGUCUCAAAAAAAAAAAAAAAAAAAAAAAAAAAAAGAAAAUGAAAUGUAAAGUGAUGACUUAAAUAUGGAAAAGGAACCAUUUGAUUAAAAAGCCAAACUAUGAAGCUUCAAAGACAAGAUGUUACCUUGUGCAAAACCCUGCCAUGGGGAAAAACUGUGUUUCAAGAGUGGAAAGAGCCCUGUCUCAUUAGGAGUGAGGGUCUUGAAUGGUGCCUGUGGUUGUAGACAGCAGAGCAGAGCUUUAGCAUCCUGGAGAUUUGUAAUUGUACUCCACAAGUAACUAAAGGAUUUAAGGCAGAGGAGGGAAAGAAUCUUGCUUACAUUACAAAAAAUAAAAAAGAAAAAGAAGAAAUAAAAAAAUAGAAAAAAGUAAUAUAUAUUAUUAUUAUUACAUUGGUUUAUAGUAAUUGGUUUAUAUCUAAUUUGUUUCCCUGUGUUUAUAAUACAUAUAUAUCUCUGCCUCUUAAACCAAGAAUAAUUUUUACAGGGACAAGAAUAAACACAAGGAAAUGAAUUAGAAAACUAUUAAAGUGAAACGACAAGAAGGUGGAGACCUUGUUCAAAAUAAUGAAAUACAUAUUUAAGAUAUGUGCAAGUUUGAAGAAAAGAGCCACUGAUAGGGUUUUGGUGUAUUAGAUAAGAUAAAAUCAAUGGGAACACCAGCUGAAGUAAACAAACAAGCAUACACACACAAACUGGGAAGCAGAGAAAAUAACAAAACUCUACUUAAAACAUUAUGAAUUUCAGUUGUCUAUAAAACAAUCCACAUUUGAUAUUAAGUAAGUAGAUGACUAUGCAAAGCUCUAACUCAGAGAAGAUACCAAAAUUGGAAAUAUUCUGAGAUGCUAUCAUGUAACUGGCCUUUAAACUCAUGAAAAUGCUUGAGAACACUCAGGGGAAAAAGUGAGUAAGUAGAGAAAAAAGAAAGUACUCAGCUAAGUGGAUUGAAGACAGUACAGGAAAUAUUGAAGGAGACUGUCUAUUGUUUGAUUGAUUUCUUUCAAAGAAAGAAUACAAAGUAAGUUGAUAACUGAAGGACAACGGUAGGUCAAUGUAAACUUUUAACAAAAAGGGAAUUAUUCAUUAAUGAGAAUGAUAAUACUAAAAUGAGAGGGAGAGCUAAGGGACAGAAUUUACUUAAUAUUGGGAGAUCUCAUCAAUUUAGCAUAAGACAUGUGGUAACUUUGUAGAAGGUUAUUGUUAUGAAUGCUGUGGGAGUGAAUGCAUUGGGAAAC